Anguilla rostrata (American eel) is the source of this 3126-nucleotide long non-coding RNA. RefSeq lists it as uncharacterized. The record is from RefSeq and is a predicted model, not a curated record. The transcript has 3 exons. NCBI's taxonomy places the organism in Eukaryota, Metazoa, Chordata, Actinopteri, Anguilliformes, Anguillidae.
GGUGUUUUGUUUACGCUUUAUUAGCUACGUAAAACGGCGAUGGUGGAACGGUCGAAGAUCAAUACGAGAUGCCUGAACAAGAUUCAUAUGAGUGGGGCAACGAUCCAGGUAUCACGUUUCCAGAGUGACCCCGCUGUGACCUCCGUAACGUACCGCUUUCAUUACACGUCACUUUCAUCACCCAAGUGGAAUUAUCAGUGCAUUGACUGGAAUCUGACAGCGUGGUGGGUGGUGAAAGCUUGGCUAGGUGCUGUGUAAUAUUGUGACUUUGUACCUUAAGUAGACAACAACAUUGCAUCUAUAUUUAUCAGAGUAUAGUGACAGUCCGCACUACGGAUUCGAUCUUUACCUUGUCUGGAAAGGUAGUAAGUAGAUCUAUAAUCAACGAGAGACCGAUUGAGACAAAAGAAGAGUAGGCUAUUAGCAUCCCAUGUAUCCUCUCUAUGAUUCCGGCGAUAUGGAUCAGGACAGCCGUGUACCUGGCGCCUGCCACCCUCGCUCUGCCCUGCUCUUGGCUCUUCCCUGUGAGAGACUGGCUGAGUUUGGAGACGCCAGGCUGCCAGGGCCCUGGAGCAGCGCAUAGAAGAGGAGCCCUUCCAGCCAUUUGAAACCAGCCUGAGAGAGAGAGAAAAGCUUUUGUUUUCCAUGGACACAAAGGGACUUUCCUAGGAACACGUUCAACAAUUUGCUGAAGUUCGACCUUCCUGAAUUAUUGAUGACAGCUGAUGUGUGAAGCUACAGCAAUCAGUGUUGCCUUCACACAACAAAAAAAGAACUUGCCACACCAUGCUACAUCUCAUUUAGACGUAGUGCCGCCAUCUUUCUUUGCUAAAUAAACCCUCCAGGCCGUAUAGGUUGCCCUAGUUCUUCAGCCGCAGUUUUGGGGGAUAGAGGUGCAUUGUGGCCGUUUAAAUGUGAAUGCAGAGAAUUAGUACGACCUCUGUGCUCCACAAUGACAAUCAACACUCGGGUGGGAAGACGUCCGCAGGCCUCCCUGUGCUCCGCCCACAGUCGCCUCCCAGGUGUGUUCCCCUCCCCCCCCACCUGCUGUGACUCUCUGAAUGGAGAGGAAUGCAAAUGUGUACACCUAAUGCCUCACGCACCAAGGGGCCGUUUCAGCUGGGGCCUGUCUGUUUCAAAGAGCCCCGUCCACUGUAGUCAAUGGUUUCUUCCACAUUACUGCCACUGUCACUGUAGAACAAUGGACCUGCUGUGCCAUCAGCCGGCUUUGCCUUGCUUUCUCUCAUGUCACCCGGUGAGUUCAGCCCUGCUUGAUCACAUAUACAUUGAGACCUCGUGGAUCAAACCUCCAGGCCUGCCACUCAAAGUCUCAGUCACACAAUGAGUGCAUCACUUGUGACUGACAUUAAAUAUUUAUCGCAGAUGGACUUUUGCAUGGGAGAUAUGAUGUAUGUCACAACAUAUUACGUCAACCUGAGCAAUUUUCUCAGUCUUUAUGGGUCUGCGUUUGCCAGAGGAUUACAAGUCUUCAGAACAGUAGGCUUCAUUUUUAUAAUUGUUUCAUGCUUCCUCUCAUUUUGAAUAGACAACCAAGGCACUCAUAAUUAAGCAUCUACUGUUAAUUUUUUACAUGUUGUCCAGUCUUUUCCAAAGCUUUGGACUACAGUUUGAAUAUGCACAUUUCUGCUCGUUCCCUAAUAUUGGGGCUUUCAUCACCCAAAUGUUUCCCAUCAAUCCAGUUGUCAUUUUCCUCAGAACCGAUGUUGAGUAAAAGCAAGCACCUUGUGAAGAAGAUGCUCAAUGGCAGCACUCUUGUGUGUUUGCCUCCCACAGAAGGCUGAGUGGUACAUGGCAGCCAUCAGGCAUGCCAGUUUUCAUGAUUCAACACAGAUGAUUUUGGCAGGCUGGGAGCUGGGGCAUGACAGCUUGAUGUGACGUGCUUGGGUUGUGGAAAAAGACUCUCUCAUCCAGGCCACCCAGGAGGAAUGAACUCACUUAGUGAAAAGGCUCACCCCCUUCUAACAAGAGUAAACAUGAGGAUGUUUUUGCUGUACAUCAAAAUACCCGGCAUAUAUUACAAGUACGUGCUCUUGCUCUUCACAUAUGCAUACAUUAUAGGACAUUUUGUAAAAUUAUAUUGAACAGGUCAGAUAUAUUUAACCAAUGUUUUGUAAUGCAGGACAUAAAUCUACCUUCACAAAAUAGAUCAUAAUCAAUUCCUUAUAUUUGGAUUUCAUGUAUUUUAUUUUUAUCUUGCAUAUAAUUUGUUUAGAUAUAGUGCAAUAAAUAAAAGGAAGAACAAUACACCAGUGAAAUAAUCCAGGUGAAACAUUGCUUAUUUUUGUGUGCUGAUGUUUGUUGUAUUGUAUGCUGAAAACAAAUGGAAAGAAUUAUUUGUUUAUCUUAAGCACCUGAAGAAACGUUAUAUUAGUAUCCUGGAUUGUGUGGUACCUUGAACUGCUUAAAUACGCAAUUUGACAAAUAUUAUUUUUUAUGCGGGUUAAGCUUUGCAAACAAUCAAGAGCUGGAGUUCAGUCUCCCACCGCAGCGGUGUUGAGCCUGGUAUGUGUGUUAAGUCGGCUCUGGUAGGAGCGUGUGUGAGUGUGCGUGCUUGCAUGGCGAGGGAUGAAUGACCCCACCCCCACCCCUGUAACCGUCAUGCUACACGCAGCUGAGAGAAAGCCUGCUGCUGGGGGCUUGAGAAUGGCGAACCGCAGGGGCAGUUUCUGACUCAUCCAUCCAGUGAGGUCGUAAACGUCAGCGAUGUGGUCAGCGCUCCUCGGCCUGGGUCUGUUUUCGCUCCCGCUGCGUUAAAAGAGCCUUUUGUUGAGUGCCAGGGUAAGAGGGUAAAAGGCCUCCUCCAACAGCAUUUACCUCCCCCUUCCCCCUCCUCCAUCACACACUACAGAGAAAGGCCUUGUCCUUUCUCUAACACUGAGCAGGCCUGGUUUUCUCUACAAUGCCUGCGGUCAAAAUGUCAGCCAAGCUGUGCAGUGGGAAAUGUCUCAUGCGCAGAGAUUAGACCUACGGAAAAACCGAAAAGGCAUUUUCAUUUCCUAUCGCAGUCCUCAGGGAUGUGGACCUUAAGUGCUGGUUUGUUAAGAAAAUAUAUCCCCCCUUCCCCCACCAAAAAAGAAUGACCACCAGUCAUUUUUUAAUUGAAAA